RNAcentral lists this long non-coding RNA (1676 nucleotides) under Sus scrofa (pig). Its description in RNAcentral is "lncRNA (ENSSSCG00030034859.1)". Lineage: Eukaryota; Metazoa; Chordata; Mammalia; Artiodactyla; Suidae. The record is from RNAcentral.
UUUUCCAUAUCAGCCCCUAUAGAUUUCUUGCAUAUAUAACUGCCAGGUAGUACUCCCCAGAGACCGUGCUUUUCAAGAUGAUCCUGUGUGUACCAUUGUGUUAUUCCCUCCCCCAGGGCUCAGCAGCCUGGACGCAGACGCAGCAGUGUGGAUGAUUGCAUUGAUCCAGACUUGGAAGUUGUGCGGCAGUGACCUAGGACCACAAUAAGGAAAUCUCUUGAAAGAAUAUCCCUGCAUUCUUUGUAAAAUCUACAGGUGUGGUAUCCUCUUGUGAUAUCAAGAUUUGGGGAAAUGUUCUUCAAAUGUCCCCUCGUCCUUGCAUUGACUCUGAUUCUGCAGACUCUUAGAAGAAGUAGAGUUAUCAGCCUGCAAGAGAACGUUCCAGAGAGGAUUGAGCUCACCUUCUGGAGAAUCUAGAGAAGGAUGUUUUACCAUUUCCCUCGCUGUUCUAAAUUUUAGCAGCAACACAUAAGUUCUGCACAGUCUCAGAGUCCCUUGGGAUUACGGACUGCUGGAGGGCAGGAACUAUAUGACUUUCUUUUCUCCUUCAGCUCGCUCUCACAGACCUUUAAAAUCUCAUGUGCUAAAUGACUAAACAAGUGCCCAGACUGCUCUGUGCCAGGAUUCCUGGCGCCUCCAUGCUGGUCAGUGAGCCUGAAGAGGGCAGGGUCCAGCCUCAGGCCUCCAGCUCACUCUCCUCCCGGGAAGAAGACGCCUCUACUCCGAAGGCAGCCAGCAUGUAUCUCACUCGCAACAGUCGGCAGAUGGCCUCGGAUCCCUUCUGUUCUCAGGAAUCACAUUGGGACUAACCGCGCUGUGCAUUUUCCAUCGCUGGCAGCCAUCUCAACAGUGACGUCGGGCCUCGUUAUUAAUAGGGGAGGGACAGACCCAGAGAGAGGGGAAGUGGCUUGGGCUGAGUCACACAGCAAAGUUAGAACUGCCAGCUCCCAGCGACUAACCUCGCCCUGGGCUCUAGCCCACACACCUGGCGGCUCCGGAGACUUGCUCCUUUUUGGACUCUGGGCAACAAACUCCCUGGCUAACCAAGCGGGUCUGACUUGUCCUACAGAGCCAAUGAGGCAAAAGCUUCCUGAGAAUGUUAUAUUGUGAUCUUGCUGUUUCUACUGGUUGGCAAGAAACCGACUCCCCAUUCCUUUUCGAAUGACCUUGGACACAUCAUGGAAAGUCUCUGAACCCUCAGUUUUCCCUUCAGGAAAAUGCAGACAAGAAUUCUGGGUGCCUACCCCGCCCCCGCCCCGACAGACUGUGGACGAGCUAUAGGCUGAAGAUCGGGGUGCCCUUCUCCGAUCGGGUCUGCAUUUACAUGGGUGAACUUCAAACCUGGCUGAGCAUGGUAAUCACGUGAGUGGCCUUUAAAAAUACAAAUUCCUUAGCACUGAGAACCACAUCUAGUCGCUUAUGAUGGAGAACAAUGGACGAUAAGGUGAGAAAAAGAAUGUACAUAUGUAUGUGUGACUGGGUCACCUUGCUGUGCAGGAGAAGAUUGACAGAACACUGUAAACCAGCUAUAACGGAAAAAGAUCAUUAAAAAAANAUUGACAGAACACUGUAAACCAGCUAUAACGGAAAAAAAUCAUUAAAAAGACACUGACUUAAGAAGAUGUAGAUAAUGUGAAUUUUUAUCAAAUAAAGAAAUGGUAUGAAAAUUUUUUUCA